GACGUAGGGCGCGAGCGUUGUCCGGAUUUAUUGGGCGUAAAGAGCUCGUAGGCGGUUUGUCGCGUCUGCUGUGAAAACGCGAGGCUCAACCUCGCGCCUGCAGUGGGGUACGGGGCAGACUAGAGUGCGGUAGGGGAGAUUGGAAUUCCUGGUGUAGCGGUGGAAUGCGCAGAUAUCAGGAGGAACACCGAUGGCGAAGGCAGAUCUCUGGGGCCGUAACUGGACGCUGAGGUGCGAAAGCGUGGGGAGCAAACAGG
RNAcentral lists this ribosomal RNA (257 nucleotides) under uncultured bacterium. RNAcentral's name for it is "partial 16S ribosomal RNA". It matches the Rfam family "Bacterial small subunit ribosomal RNA", at positions 524 to 776 of the family's 1533-position model. The record is from RNAcentral.